This 576-nucleotide long non-coding RNA is filed under the name Suricata suricatta (meerkat). Its description in RNAcentral is "lncRNA (ENSSSUG00005020291.1)". The record is from RNAcentral. Lineage: Eukaryota; Metazoa; Chordata; Mammalia; Carnivora; Herpestidae.
CUCCCAGCGGGAAGCCCAGCUCAGGGGUCAGGGUCUGGCUGGCACUGGCUGGCACCCCACCAGGUAAAUGUCCGGGUGUCUUCCGCGUGUCUUCCGGGUGUCAGUGGCCCCAGGAGCAGAGGACGCGUCCAGGCUGGGGAGGGAUAUAUUAAAGCCAUCAACACAUGGGGGUGAGUGAGGAGCCAGCGGGACGUUGGCCUUGUGUUAAGCCUUCAGAAAAGCGAUUGAGUGGAGAUGAACUAUGUCUGCGAAAGCUUCAUGUCCCCAGCCUUUCUGUGCCGGAGGUGUUUUAUCCCAGACGAGUCUCACUUGGUUCAGGUGCCUGUCCUUGUUUUCUUGGCGAUCGCCAUUUGGUUCGCAUCUCCCCGUCACUCCCGACAUGGAAACCGACUUCACCACUUGUGAAUCUUCCCACGGACCAGGAUGCUGUGAAGUGAAACUUUCUGACACGCUGUCGCUGCCCACAACCCUCUAGUUCACGCCAACACGGCAAGUAUGAGAGAGAAAAGCCAGGGACCCUGGCAACCCAGCCUCCUGUCACCUGGGCCCACACCGUACACGUAAGCUUAGACAUUC